This 495-nucleotide ribosomal RNA is filed under the name uncultured bacterium. RNAcentral describes it as "partial 16S ribosomal RNA". It matches the Rfam family "Bacterial small subunit ribosomal RNA", at positions 28 to 506 of the family's 1533-position model. The record is from RNAcentral.
GAUGAACGCUGGCGGCGUGCCUAAUACAUGCAAGUCGAGCGAACAGACGAGGAGCUUGCUCCUCUGACGUUAGCGGCGGACGGGUGAGUAACACGUGGAUAACCUACCUAUAGACUGGGAUAACUUCGGGAAACCGGAGCUAAUACCGGAUAAUAUAUUGAACCGCAUGGUUCAAUAGUGAAAGACGGUUUUGCUGUCACUUAUAGAUGGAUCCGCGCCGCAUUAGCUAGUUGGUAAGGUAACGGCUUACCAAGGCAACGAUGCGUAGCCGACCUGAGAGGGUGAUCGGCCACACUGGAACUGAGACACGGUCCAGACUCCUACGGGAGGCAGCAGUAGGGAAUCUUCCGCAAUGGGCGAAAGCCUGACGGAGCAACGCCGCGGGAGUGAUGAAGGUCUUCGGAUCGUAAAACGCUGUUAUUAGGGAAGAACAAAUGUGUAAGUAACUAUGCACGUCUUGACGGUACCUAAUCAGAAAGCCACGGCUAACUACGU